Brassica napus (rape) is the source of this 2519-nucleotide long non-coding RNA. RefSeq lists it as uncharacterized. The transcript is spliced from 10 exons. NCBI's taxonomy places the organism in Eukaryota, Viridiplantae, Streptophyta, Magnoliopsida, Brassicales, Brassicaceae. The record is from RefSeq and is a predicted model, not a curated record.
AGAGAAAUACAGCUCCCAUGGUUCUCCAAUAGCAAUCGAGCUCCUCGAUGCCGCCACAAACGCCCGAGUCACCUCCGACUUGCGGCUCGAGAUCGUAACGCUGCUGAUAUCGCCGAGGAAAGCUUCACCACCGAGGAGUUUAACAGGAAUAUUCUCCGACCACGGGAAGGGAAACCACCAUUGCUCGCCGGAGACCUGACUGUGACGCUUGAAGACGGGGUCGGAGUAGUCAGCGGCGACGUCACUUUCACAGAAAAUUCGAGCUGGACGAGAUGCAGGUUAGGUGCUAAAGUUAGACAACAAGGAGGAGUUGUGGAGGCCAUAAGUAGAGCGUUCGUGUGCAGAGAUCGUCCAAGAGGAGAGUCUUAUUCUGAUUCUAAGGUACACGACAUGACCAAACACGGAGUUAAAGAAUCUCUUGAUGGAUCCCAAGACGAUGAGGCUCAAGAUUGCAGAUCUUGGUUUAGCCAGAGCCUUCACUCUCCCUAUGAAGAAGUAUAACCAUGAGAUAUUGACUCUAUGGUAUAGAGCUCCAGAAGUUCUUCUUGGUGCCACUCAUUACUCUACAGCUGUUGAUAUGUGGUCUGUUGGCUGCGUUUUUGCUGAGCUUGUGACCAACCAAGCGAUUCUUGCUGGGGACUCUGAGCUCCAUCACUCUCACUUAAACUUCUUAAUCAGACUUGAAAAAAUUCUUCGGUAACGUCUUCUUCCGUUGUUGUUGCGUAAUCAGCCUUCGACGCUCUCCGUCUCGGUAGAUCGUCGCAGUUCAUUGUUGCUUGGCUUCUCCGUUUCUGGGACUCGGAAAACAUCAAGAAGUAUGGUAAAUUCAUGGGUAUCACUCUACUUCUCUUUGAUGAGAAGGUAUUGUAUCCAAAAAAGAGAAGAUUAUGUACUUUCGUUUUUUUGGUCGCUAUAUGUUUCAGAUUGUCUCUCAUCACACUGCAAGGAACUAUAUGAAGUCAAAGAAGGCAAAUAAGAGUUUGAUUUCAAGGUGGUCACCGAGACCGUUCCAAAAUGAGCGUGAUUAUGUCCCGUUGAGCUCUAUGGCUUGGCCAAAGACGAGUCUGAUUACGGAUGAUACACAACAAGCUUCAAGAUAGAUAACAGUGACCUUCGAGAAAGGAGGCAAGCCUACUGUUAGAGUUGCUAGCCUUGGCCACGCGUUGCAUGUCUGGCUCAAUUGAGAAUACCUUGGAUAGUGUGUCUUAUCUGGAGCAUAGAUUCACAUGUCACACGUAGUGUUUCCAUCUUAGGGUUGAGCUCUGGACCACUUGAUCUCACUGAGAAAAACAAAUGGGGAAACAAGGUGGGUAUUGAAGGCUAGAAGCUCUAUAUUCACACGAGAAAGGAUAGAAGAAGGUUAAGUGGCAGAAAUUCUCAUGAAAAGCACCAGGAUUUACCUGGUAUCAGGCAUGCGCCAGGAGUUUAGUAAUAUUAAGUUUUCUUUUUCCAUCUGAAGAAGAUUCUUUAACGAAAUAAGGAAAAUAAAUAAGUAUGUAUUCCUCUUAGUAUCACUAGACAUGAAAAUAAAAAAUUUGUGCUCACUUCACCACCACAGGUUAGUUUAUAUCUAACUUAGCACCAACAUCUUAUGCUCAUUUGGUAUUCCUCUUACUGUCACUAGAUAUUAUAGACUGCAUACUGGGAAAGUUGAUAACUCUGAAACAUCACAUGAGUGGUGCUAUAUCUCAUGCUCCAAGAGCUCCUGGAAACUGCGGCGUGGGCUUUCAUCUUUCGUGUGUGGAUCAUAUCAUGAUGAAAAAGCUGUUGGCAUUGUAAGUCGUCUCUCUCUUUGAUGACAAGUACCGGGUGGAGAUGGCAGUAUCAGAUGCAUCCGACUCUGCUCUGUUUGUAGCUUUCGAUGCUGAGAUGAACAAGCUGAUCAAUGUUCCUGCUGCAUGAGUGUCUCAAGGCAUGGGCACCAGCAUGGAGGAUGCACAUAACAUUGCUUUCCCACAGUGCCUCAGAGACAUACUGGGGAGGGCCUUAACAUUCCAGCAGAAACUUUCAAGGUUUAAUUUCUCAUCAAAGCAUCAGUCAUUCACCUUAAUUUCUCUGUAUAUUUACGUUUAAGCACUCCAAGCAUUAUUGUGUUAUGUAUACCCAUACUCCUCCACAUGGAGGUGAUGAAAACACCGGCAAUGAUGUUCCAGGAGCUAUAUAUAGAGAUACUUCUGAAGCUCUUUAAAGAGGUGCUCCAGUCAACAACGGCGGACCCAUUACUCAUGUCAUGGUGAAAGGCAAGAAACAGCCUCUAAACCUACCAAAAACCAUGUUCGCAAUGGUUAAGCUUCAGAUUACUGGAGCCUAAUGGAAUGUUGCAGACUUCCACAACUGCUUUUUGUCGUUUUCUUAAAAAAAAAUCUUUAAUAAAUGUGUACUUGAGCUAUUUGGCUCUGUAUUUCAGAUGACUUAGAAAAGAGCCUCCUACAGUUAUUUAUGUGUACUUGAGCUAUUUGGCUAUGUAUUUCAAAUGACUUAUAAAAUAGACUCCUUCAACUAAUUUAUAUUUGCUUACA